This 468-nucleotide ribosomal RNA is filed under the name uncultured bacterium. Its description in RNAcentral is "partial 16S ribosomal RNA". It matches the Rfam family "Bacterial small subunit ribosomal RNA", at positions 28 to 507 of the family's 1533-position model. The record is from RNAcentral.
GACGAACGCUGGCGGCGUGCUUAACACAUGCAAGUCGAACGGAAAGGCCCUGCUUUUGUGGGGUGCUCGAGUGGCGAACGGGUGAGUAACACGUGAGUAACCUGCCCUUGACUUUGGGAUAACUUCAGGAAACUGGGGCUAAUACCGGAUAGGAGCUCCUGCUGCAUGGUGGGGGUUGGAAAGUUUCGGCGGUUGGGGAUGGACUCGCGGCUUAUCAGCUUGUUGGUGGGGUAGUGGCUUACCAAGGCUUUGACGGGUAGCCGGCCUGAGAGGGUGACCGGCCACAUUGGGACUGAGAUACGGCCCAGACUCCUACGGGAGGCAGCAGUGGGGAAUAUUGCACGAUGGGCGGAAGCCUGAUGCAGCAACGCCGCGUGCGGGAUGACGGCCUUCGGGUUGUAAACCGCUUUCGCCUGUGACGAAGCGUGAGUGACGGUAAUGGGUAAGGAAGCACCGGCUAACUACGUG